GGGUGCGAUCAUACCAGCACUAAUGCACGGGAUACCAUCAGAACUCCACAGUGAAACGUGCUUGGGUGAGAGUAGUACGAGGAUGGGUGACCUCCUGGGAAGUCCUCGUGUUGCACCUC
This is a non-coding RNA of Populus trichocarpa (black cottonwood), 119 nucleotides long. Lineage: Eukaryota; Viridiplantae; Streptophyta; Magnoliopsida; Malpighiales; Salicaceae. The record is from Rfam.